Molecule: ribosomal RNA, 2129 nt
Filed under: Escherichia coli
Lineage: Bacteria; Pseudomonadati; Pseudomonadota; Gammaproteobacteria; Enterobacterales; Enterobacteriaceae
Description: bacterial LSU rRNA
Rfam family: Bacterial large subunit ribosomal RNA
Source: RNAcentral
UUAAGCGACUAAGCGUACACGGUGGAUGCCCUGGCAGUCAGAGGCGAUGAAGGACGUGCUAAUCUGCGAUAAGCGUCGGUAAGGUGAUAUGAACCGUUAUAACCGGCGAUUUCCGAAUGGGGAAACCCAGUGUGAUUCGUCACACUAUCAUUAACUGAAUCCAUAGGUUAAUGAGGCGAACCGGGGGAACUGAAACAUCUAAGUACCCCGAGGAAAAGAAAUCAACCGAGAUUCCCCCAGUAGCGGCGAGCGAACGGGGAGCAGCCCAGAGCCUGAAUCAGUGUGUGUGUUAGUGGAAGCGUCUGGAAAGGCGCGCGAUACAGGGUGACAGCCCCGUACACAAAAAUGCACAUGCUGUGAGCUCGAUGAGUAGGGCGGGACACGUGGUAUCCUGUCUGAAUAUGGGGGGACCAUCCUCCAAGGCUAAAUACUCCUGACUGACCGAUAGUGAACCAGUACCGUGAGGGAAAGGCGAAAAGAACCCCGGCGAGGGGAGUGAAAAAGAACCUGAAACCGUGUACGUACAAGCAGUGGGAGCACGCUUAGGCGUGUGACUGCGUACCUUUUGUAUAAUGGGUCAGCGACUUAUAUUCUGUAGCAAGGUUAACCGAAUAGGGGAGCCGAAGGGAAACCGAGUCUUAACUGGGCGUUAAGUUGCAGGGUAUAGACCCGAAACCCGGUGAUCUAGCCAUGGGCAGGUUGAAGGUUGGGUAACACUAACUGGAGGACCGAACCGACUAAUGUUGAAAAAUUAGCGGAUGACUUGUGGCUGGGGGUGAAAGGCCAAUCAAACCGGGAGAUAGCUGGUUCUCCCCGAAAGCUAUUUAGGUAGCGCCUCGUGAAUUCAUCUCCGGGGGUAGAGCACUGUUUCGGCAAGGGGGUCAUCCCGACUUACCAACCCGAUGCAAACUGCGAAUACCGGAGAAUGUUAUCACGGGAGACACACGGCGGGUGCUAACGUCCGUCGUGAAGAGGGAAACAACCCAGACCGCCAGCUAAGGUCCCAAAGUCAUGGUUAAGUGGGAAACGAUGUGGGAAGGCCCAGACAGCCAGGAUGUUGGCUUAGAAGCAGCCAUCAUUUAAAGAAAGCGUAAUAGCUCACUGGUCGAGUCGGCCUGCGCGGAAGAUGUAACGGGGCUAAACCAUGCACCGAAGCUGCGGCAGCGACGCUGAUGCGUUGUUGGGUAGGGGAGCGUUCUGUAAGCCUGUGAAGGUGUACUGUGAGGUAUGCUGGAGGUAUCAGAAGUGCGAAUGCUGACAUAAGUAACGAUAAAGCGGGUGAAAAGCCCGCUCGCCGGAAGACCAAGGGUUCCUGUCCAACGUUAAUCGGGGCAGGGUGAGUCGACCCCUAAGGCGAGGCCGAAAGGCGUAGUCGAUGGGAAACAGGUUAAUAUUCCUGUACUUGGUGUUACUGCGAAGGGGGGACGGAGAAGGCUAUGUUGGCCGGGCGACGGUUGUCCCGGUUUAAGCGUGUAGGCUGGUUUUCCAGGCAAAUCCGGAAAAUCAAGGCUGAGGCGUGAUGACGAGGCACUACGGUGCUGAAGCAACAAAUGCCCUGCUUCCAGGAAAAGCCUCUAAGCAUCAGGUAACAUCAAAUCGUACCCCAAACCGACACAGGUGGUCAGGUAGAGAAUACCAAGGCGCUUGAGAGAACUCGGGUGAAGGAACUAGGCAAAAUGGUGCCGUAACUUCGGGAGAAGGCACGCUGAUAUGUAGGUGAAGUCCCUCGCGGAUGGAGCUGAAAUCAGUCGAAGAUACCAGCUGGCUGCAACUGUUUAUUAAAAACACAGCACUGUGCAAACACGAAAGUGGACGUAUACGGUGUGACGCCUGCCCGGUGCCGGAAGGUUAAUUGAUGGGGUUAGCGCAAGCGAAGCUCUUGAUCGAAGCCCCGGUAAACGGCGGCCGUAACUAUAACGGUCCUAAGGUAGCGAAAUUCCUUGUCGGGUAAGUUCCGACCUGCACGAAUGGCGUAAUGAUGGCCAGGCUGUCUCCACCCGAGACUCAGUGAAAUUGAACUCGCUGUGAAGAUGCAGUGUACCCGCGGCAAGACGGAAAGACCCCGUGAACCUUUACUAUAGCUUGACACUGAACAUUGAGCCUUGAUGUGUAGGAUAGGUGGGAGGCUU